AUACAGAACACAACAGGCAUCGAAGUUCGUUGGUCGAUGAGUUUGUGUAAUCCAAGGAGAACGGAUCCCACGGUAUUUCAGCACCGGCUACGCGACGUGGGAUCAGUCGUGCACACAGCGCUCUAACCUACACACGCGUGCGCACAUGCAUACGUGAUCUGCACAGAUCGCGUUGAUACAUCAGUACGGAGGUCAAUUGAUCAUGUGAAAGCGAGAGUGACCGGAGUUGAGAGGCGAGGAAAAAGCAGCGCGCACUGCGGGGAUUUCUGAAAACAAUACCUGGUGGACAGUUAAAACACUUCGAUUCUUCGUUUUAUUUCACACUUUAAAAGCAUAAGUGUGAGGAGUUCGUUAAUUGGUUGAAGAUAUUGGUAAUGAAUGAAAUCAUGUAAUGAAAGAAGUUGAUGGUAAAAUAUGAUGAUACACAAGAAAUCCAACCACAGUGUGUGUAUUCUAUAAUGGAAAUUACAGAUUGUUUAAGUAGUUCCUAAAUGAAGAAUUAUUAAACUAAUAUUAGACAAGAAAAAUAGCAUAAUAAGCAGUUGAUUCCGGAUAUGGAAAAGACACGAUACAAGGGCUCCUGGUUCCAAUUCUUCGAGAAAUUGAUAGAUUCGUGGCCAAUGUCUAGUUUGGACUGUCUUUUCGGCACAU
This 651-nucleotide long non-coding RNA is filed under the name Eufriesea mexicana. Its description in RNAcentral is "uncharacterized LOC108552240, transcript variant X2". The record is from RNAcentral. Lineage: Eukaryota; Metazoa; Arthropoda; Insecta; Hymenoptera; Apidae.